This 499-nucleotide ribosomal RNA is filed under the name uncultured Glomeromycotina. Its description in RNAcentral is "partial small subunit ribosomal RNA". It matches the Rfam family "Eukaryotic small subunit ribosomal RNA", at positions 591 to 1092 of the family's 1831-position model. The record is from RNAcentral. Lineage: Eukaryota; Fungi; Glomeromycota.
CCAAUAGCGUAUAUUAAAGUUGUUGCAGUUAAAAAGCUCGUAGUUGAAUUUCGGGAUCAAGGAAUCGGUCAUGCCUUGGUAUGUACUGGUUUUAUUGGUUCUCACCUUCUAAAGAACCAUGAUGUCAUUCAUUUGAUGUUAUGGGGAAUUAGGACUGUUACCUUGAAAAAAUUAGAGUGUUUAAAGCAAGCUUACGCUUGAAUACAUUAGCAUGGAAUAAUGAAAUAGGACAUCAGAUUCUAUUUUGUUGGUUUCUAGGAUCGAUGUAAUGAUUAAUAGGGAUAGUUGGGGGCAUUAGUAUUCAAUUGUCAGAGGUGAAAUUCUUGGAUUUAUUGAAGACUAACUACUGCGAAAGCAUUUGCCAAGGAUGUUUUCAUUAAUCAAGAACGAAAGUUAGGGGAUCGAAGACGAUCAGAUACCGUCGUAGUCUUAACCAUAAACUAUGCCGACUAGGGAUCGGAUGAUGUUAAUUUUUUAAUGACUCAUUCGGCACCUUACG